CUUGCCAUAAUGUGGGAACAAAUCCAUACCAGGAGGGGCUGAGAGAUGUGUUCAAGACACAUGCUUGUCCUGGAGAAGAAACAGGUUUGGUGAGCCACCAGCAAGCGUUUCAUGUGCCUCUGAUGAGUUUGAUGAAUCUACUAAUGUUCUGCCCGAGAGGCAUUGCCGGUGUGGCUGCUGUAUCACAUGUACAUCAGUAGGUGGCAGAGAGAAGAAGGGCUCUAUGUGUAUUUAGUGUUCUGACCUAUGUACAUCUGAAUGAUGAAUAGCCAAACAUUUCCUUCAAAAAGAAAACCUAAGACGACCACAAGUCCAGCAUCAGGGGGCCCAGACAGGAGCUAGCCUGAGACAACCUGGCCAUGCAGGUCCAUAAUACAAGAGAAGGGCAUAGCACUCCUGAGACUACGCCUGAAAUGACCCCAGACACUGAGAGACCCCAGGUGCCACUAAGAGGAGCGAGUGGUGGAAAAAUGGAAGAGAAAGAGCAACAGGAGGAUGUGGACAUAAAGAAGAGAGAGAGAAAUGGGGGCUGAAGGGUAGUGAGGAACCGCUUGAUAUGAGCCAGUGACCAUGGUGGCGUCCUGGCCUGCACUGCCACAGAGCCAGGUCUGGGUCUGUGGCCCUGCAGCAGAAGAGAUCUGUUACCACCCAAGGCCAAGCAGACAUCUCUGAUCUCGGCUGCUGCUCAGAGACACACCGUGACACACUACAACUUCCACAAGGGGACUUUUUUCUCUGUUGGGGGGAGGUUGCAAGGGUGGUGGGUGGGUAUGAGAGGAGGGAGAAGUGAGUGGGAUUGGGGUAUAUGAUGUGAAAUUCACAAAGAACCAAAUAAAAAGUUUGAAAAAGCC
This 851-nucleotide long non-coding RNA is filed under the name Mus musculus (house mouse). RNAcentral's name for it is "predicted gene, 49786". The stretch from base 148 to 278 matches the Rfam family "Small nucleolar RNA SNORA17". The record is from RNAcentral. Lineage: Eukaryota; Metazoa; Chordata; Mammalia; Rodentia; Muridae.